RNAcentral lists this ribosomal RNA (494 nucleotides) under uncultured bacterium. RNAcentral's name for it is "partial 16S ribosomal RNA". It matches the Rfam family "Bacterial small subunit ribosomal RNA", at positions 28 to 507 of the family's 1533-position model. The record is from RNAcentral.
GACGAACGCUGGCGGCGUGCUUAACACAUGCAAGUCGAACGGUGAAGCGCCUUCCUUUUUGGUGGGUGUGGAUGAGUGGCGAACGGGUGAGUAACACGUGAGUAACCUGCCCCCUUCUUCUGGAUAACCGCAUGAAAGUGUGGCUAAUACGGGAUAUUCUGGGUCUGUCGCAUGAUGGGUCUGGGAAAGAUAUUGUUUCGGUGGGGGAUGGGCUCGCGGCCUAUCAGCUUGUUGGUGGGGUGAUGGCCUACCAAGGCGGUGACGGGUAGCCGGCCUGAGAGGGUGGACGGUCACACUGGGAAGGAGACACGGCCCAGACUCCUACGGGAGGCAGCAGUGGGGAAUAUUGCACAAUGGGCGCAAGCCUGAUGCAGCGACGCCGCGUGAGGGAUGGAGGCCUGCGGGUUGUGAACCUCUUUCGCCAGUGAAGCAGGCCUGCCUCGUUUGUGGGUGGGUUGACGGUAGCUGGAGAAGAAGCGCCGGCUAACUACGUG